RNAcentral lists this ribosomal RNA (313 nucleotides) under uncultured Methanosaeta sp. RNAcentral's name for it is "bacterial SSU rRNA". It matches the Rfam family "Archaeal small subunit ribosomal RNA", at positions 1028 to 1338 of the family's 1478-position model. The record is from RNAcentral. Lineage: Archaea; Methanobacteriati; Methanobacteriota; Methanomicrobia; Methanotrichales; Methanotrichaceae.
GUUAAGUCAGGCAACGAGCGAGACCCACGCCCACCAGUUGCCAGCGUACUCUCUGGAGUGACGGGUACGACUGUGGGGACCGCCGCUGCUAAAGCGGAGGAAGGAAUGGGCAACGGUAGGUCAGUAUGCCCCGAAUAUCCCGGGCUACACGCGAGCUACAAUGGUUGGUACAAUGGGUAUCUACCCCGAAAGGGGACGGGAAUCUCCUAAAACCAAUCUUAGUUCGGAUUGAGGGCUGCAACUCGCCCUCAUGAAGCUGGAAUCCGUAGUAAUCGCGUUUCAACAGAACGCGGUGAAUACGUCCCUGCUCCUU